UUCAAGCUCCCAUCCUUCCCUCGCAGAAGGUGGAAGUCUGGGUGGUCCAGCCUCGGCGAGUAAGGUCCGCAAAUUUGGCCGGCCCCGGCGAUCGGCUCCCUACACACAGCUACCCCUGGGGCGCUUCAUCCCCUGGGAGAAGAUGGAGGGCUCUGGGGGUGGGGCGGGGCUCGCAAACUCAAAGGGUCCCCUGCAGAUCAUGGCCUCAGGGAAGCCCCAACACCCUUGGGGCAAGGAGACCUGCAGCUGCUGGAGUUUGGCUUAAGGGCCCAUCCACAUUCUUCUGCACAGGAAAAUCCAAUUUUAUCCGCUCUAACAAAAGCCCUGCCGUUGCCUGAUACAGAGCCCACACCCAGAGUCAGCUGGUGUCUGUCUGGCUUGCUAUUUUUGAAAGGAAAUCCACUGUAGGCAUUGCAUUCGAAAGAGAAGCAGCCCUGUCCAGGCUUGGAGCAAUUCUGACACGCAAAUCUGAAACCUCCGGCUCUGAGCCUCCGCUUGCCCCUCUGUAAAAUGGGCGCUUGUGAAGCAGCUGCCAGGAGAGGCUGCUGUGGAGGCGGCCUACGUAGACGGAGCUCCAGUCAGAUCGCACAGGUUUUCUUUGCAUCACGAAGGAUGCACCAAAGGGCUGCUGGAAUGCCUUUGAAGACGUCAUGCAAUGACCCCAACCUCCAGGACCGCCACAUCGUGCACUCUGAAAACCAGCUUGAGCGAAUUUGGGGAAGGCUGUAUCAGUCUGAGAUUCCUAACUGGAGGAGGCAUUCGUGGAGCGCCUCGUGUGUGCCUGGUGGAACUGGAUUCUGGGCGUCCCUCGGUGAACUGGCCAGGCCAGAACGGGCUCUCGGGAGGUGACAGGGAGAGAGGGAGGGAGCAGGAGCUCCCGGGGGUAAGUGUCCCCCUUCUACAGCAGGGGUUCCACACUUGUGAGCGUGGAUCAGCCUCCCCUAGAGGGCUUGAGAAACGCAGAUUGCUGGGCCCCAGCCCAGGGCUUCCGCAUUCAGCAGCUCAAGGCUGGGCCCAGGUCAUUUGCAUUUCUAACGAGCUCCCAGGAGAAGCUGAUGUUGGACCGCACCUCGAGGACCACUGUUCAAACG
RNAcentral lists this long non-coding RNA (1091 nucleotides) under Homo sapiens (human). RNAcentral describes it as "HSALNT0227961". Lineage: Eukaryota; Metazoa; Chordata; Mammalia; Primates; Hominidae. The record is from RNAcentral.